Columba livia (rock pigeon) is the source of this 2631-nucleotide long non-coding RNA. RefSeq lists it as uncharacterized. NCBI's taxonomy places the organism in Eukaryota, Metazoa, Chordata, Aves, Columbiformes, Columbidae. The record is from RefSeq and is a predicted model, not a curated record. The transcript is spliced from 2 exons.
UUCCUAUAAAAGACGCAGUAAUAGCACAUUAAAGAAAAGUCCCUCUUGCAUCACAACAUACAUAGUAUAAAUGGGGCUGAGGAAAGAAAGCUAUUUGAAAACACGUGCAUUUUUGCAGCUAGAAGGUAUCUUUUUGCGACUUAGUGAGUAUACCUUUAAAAUGUAUUAUCUAUUUUUUCCUACUUGGAAAAGUAGAAAUUGAAAUAUCGAGCAAAUGAAUGUGCUUCGACACCUCCAAGCCCACUUAAAUGGUGGUAGCUCGGUUUUGAGACCUGUACCACAUCCGUUGUACACAGUCCAGGCCUUCUAAAACAGACCAUUCAAUAGAGCAAAGUGUAUUAGCAACUUCACCAUUCAACUUAUUAUUUUUUAACCAUGCUUUAACACUUCCUGAAUACAAGUAUACUGUCAAAUAGCCAUCCUGAAAAAUCAAAGGUGAUUUUCAAAUGCAAACUUACUAAACCAUAACUUUUCAAAUAUACUACAUGGACUUCUUUUAUUUAUUUCCCUCCCCCCCCCACCCCGUCAGAAUCCUUAUCUUUUCCAAAGUUCAAAUCUAAGACGUCAAAAUCUAGGCUUGGUGUUCCUCGCUUUGUGAUUACCUUGGCUUUGUUUGGUUCCCUAGCAUAUAGUUUAGGACAAAAAACGUAAGACAACCUGACCACUAAACAAAUUAUUGAGCUUUAGUUUAUUACCUAGAAGGGUGUAAGCCAAAUGACUAGAAGGGGUAAUGACAAUGGUAAUGAAGUUAACUACCUGCUGACAAGUUACCGCCACUGAACUGACCCUUUGUAACAACAAAAUGCCUGGUUUUAGCAUACACAUUAAUUAUUGAGUAACAUUCGUGUCAAUACUUUGGUGUUUUAUUCCACAAACAGAACAGGCUAGGAGCCUGCAGAGAGACAAUUACCACUGUGCUGCUGACGGCUGGUGUCUUCUUCAAGCCACAGUCACUCAGGGAGACAAGGAUGCUUCAAGUUCUCAGCAGCAGUAUUUGGAGAUGGGCUAGUUCAUUUUGGAGGCUAACCCACAUGAUUAAGCCACCCAAGUUUGUCGUCUGUUAUGAUCCACCAACCAUUCACAGCCACUUCACACCAGAUGUGAGCAACAGCAUCAAACCUGAAGAACCCCGAACUCCACUGUCACAUUUAUGCUCCCGAGCUCUACCUCUAUCGCCUCUUUGUAGACAGUGGGCACCUGGCUACCUAUAAUUCUCCUCUGCUUUUGUUCCUGGAGGACCUUUUAAACACCUUAGAAUUCAAUUUCACAGUUUAACCAUGUAAGACUAGAUUUAAACAUGAACUUCAGCAGUUGGUACGAGCUUUAUAAUCUGAACAAAUGCAGAACAGAAAUUAUUACUUGAAGAAUUGAUUUGUUUUUUCUGCAAUUUCUACAGGCUAACUGAAAUGUAGCGUAGUGUAAAUUCAAACUGUAGAGGUUUAAGAACCUUUAAAAUCAAGCCAAAGGUCAUGGCUUGCAAAAUAGGUAGGAUUACGCUCCCGGGGAGUAAAAAAGUUAUCAAAAAAUGCAUCAAUACAGAGAAACUGUGCGUGUGGAGUCAUCAUCAUCUUACCAUCACCUCUUUUUAUUCUCUUACAGGAUAAGAACAUUCACAAUGUUCUUAUAUCUUUCAUUAGAUGUAAACUAUGCCUUUACCAGCAAGAUCUUUCGUAGAUACUGCCCUUCAGCCUAAAAUUCUCAUUUAUAAGCCACGCAGUGCCUGCCUACAGCUUCCAGGAUGGACUUAACAGUUCACUCAACUGAAGACUCAAUUAACCUCUGCUGAAUAAGUGGAUUCAGUCUCUUCUGGGAUUUGUACCAGCUCAAGUUGGAAUUGAGUCUGGAAGCACAAUGACAGCUGUCAUAUUUCAUUUGGCAAAACGUCCCUCAGGGAAAGUUUGUACCAAAACAUAAAUUUGCCUUCAGUAUUUUGCCAAAUAGCAGAUACAUAUCAAAGGGCAGUGCCUUCAAAACUUUGUUGUGUUUGUUUUGGGUUUGUUUUUUUUUUCAGACUUAAUGUUUUCAGUGCCGAGAACAACAAAAUAUUGGAGAGAAAACAUUCUUUUUAUUGUGAAUGCAAAUGCAAGUAUAAAUAAAAGCAGAUCUUUGUACGGAAAUUUUCUAAAGGUCAGCUUCAAGCUUAUUGGGGGUUCUGGUUUUGCCUCAGGAGGCGUCCUCAUUCUAAGAUGUGCUUCACAUUUAGCCUGCAUUCAGGAUUGCUAAACAGUGUAAUGUUCAUCAUUUGAAAAUCUAUUUAAAAUGUUAUCAUGACAUAAAAAUGUAAUGUCAAGCACCUGUUCAACAAAAUCUGAUGUAGCCUCUGCAGCAGCCUGCUAGGACUGCAGCAUUAGGAACCUGAAACAGGUGACUAUAAAGAGGAGAAUCCUGCACAGGAAGUGAUGCCAGCCAGUUUUAGUCCAGAGGCUGCUGCUCUAGCAGUUUAUCUAAAGACAAACAUCAGUGUCUAUAUGUAGAUCCAGAUAGAUAAUGGAGCUUCCCCUCUGGUUUUACAAUUUUAAAGAGGGCAAAUGGAAAUGAGCAAGUUUUAUUUGGUGCACUGAGCUUUUGUGAGUCAAGUUACAGUUUACAGGUUGUGGUUUUGGUUUUUUUAAUAAAGCUCGUCCAAAAAGA